This 220-nucleotide long non-coding RNA is filed under the name Sorghum bicolor (sorghum). Its description in RNAcentral is "long non-coding RNA (SBIC_LNC000621)". Lineage: Eukaryota; Viridiplantae; Streptophyta; Magnoliopsida; Poales; Poaceae. The record is from RNAcentral.
GGGGUCAUUUGUUUUGGUACAGAGUAUAAGUUUAGUUUUACCUUUGUCCUUUGUGGACGGUGGUUUUUUGUAUUUGAAUUGUUUUCUUGCUUUAAGCUACUUUCGUAUUUUUGACGGAGUCAUGUUGUGGUGGCCUUGUCUGAUUCACCGGAUACCUUCGGCCUUAUUUUGCUAGAGGUUAUGUGAGUGAUGGUGAAAUGGUUUUGUUUUUGUGUGUGAU